CACCCCUCAAACCUCGGUUUGAUGUUGGGCACUGCCUAGCGGUGGCAUGCCUAAAAUUCAGUGAUGGUUCCUUAACCGGCCACAGGCGCACAAGUGUCGCAAUGUGAAAAGUUAGGCACCAGACCCCCGGUAUCGUAGAUACCAUUCUGAA
RNAcentral lists this unclassified non-coding RNA (151 nucleotides) under uncultured Ascomycota. RNAcentral's name for it is "sequence contains ITS2". Lineage: Eukaryota; Fungi; Ascomycota. The record is from RNAcentral.